AGUCGAACGAACUUCCGUUAAUUGAUUAUGACGUACUUGUACUGAUGGAGAUUUUAACACGAAGUGAGUGGGGAACGGGGGAGUAACACGUGGGUAACCUGCCCAGAAGUAGGGGAUAACACCUGGAAACAGAUGCUAAUUCCGUAUAACAGAGAAAACCGCAUGGUUUUCUUUUAAAAAAUGGCUCUGCUAUCACUUCUGGAUGGACCCGCGGCGUAUUAGCUAGUUGGUGAGGUAAAGGCUCACCAAGGCAGUGAUACGUAGCCGACCUGAGAGGGUAAUCGGCCACAUGG
RNAcentral lists this ribosomal RNA (293 nucleotides) under Pediococcus sp. idli_33. RNAcentral's name for it is "partial 16S ribosomal RNA". The stretch from base 35 to 293 matches the Rfam family "Bacterial small subunit ribosomal RNA", at positions 60 to 315 of the family's 1533-position model. The record is from RNAcentral. Lineage: Bacteria; Bacillati; Bacillota; Bacilli; Lactobacillales; Lactobacillaceae.